UACGGAGGGGGCUAGCGUUGUUCGGAAUUACUGGGCGUAAAGCGCACGUAGGCGGCUUUGUAAGUUAGAGGUGAAAGCCCGGGGCUCAACUCCGGAACUGCCUUUAAGACUGCAUCGCUUGAAUCCAGGAGAGGUGAGUGGAAUUCCGAGUGUAGAGGUGAAAUUCGUAGAUAUUCGGAAGAACACCAGUGGCGAAGGCGGCUGACUGGACAUGUAUUGACGCUGAGGUGCGAAAGCGUGGGGAGCAAACAGG
Molecule: ribosomal RNA, 253 nt
Filed under: uncultured bacterium
Lineage: Bacteria
Description: partial 16S ribosomal RNA
Rfam family: Bacterial small subunit ribosomal RNA
Source: RNAcentral